ACGCAGCGUUUUCCCUUUUCAUUUUAUUCACUUCCUUCAACGAAGUUUCUCCUCCGGUACUUCGUAUUCCCAGGAAUUUGCAUUCCCGGGCAAACAGAGUGGAAAAUCUUUUUCGCAGUUGCAGAAAGAAAAUAUCAAAUAAUGGUCAAGCAAGAGCAAAACAAGAAAAAGUUACAACUGGUAAAAAUGAAAGAAAGAGAGAGCAGAAGAAAUUCGAAUCCUCAGCGAUAAACAACAACAAAGAAAGUAGAGAUAUCAACAGUACUUAUGAUGCAGCAAGGGCUUCAUCACCAACAGCAGCAACUGGCGGCGCUCCUCUCCGUCGCGCUACCAAAGGACGAUUCCACUUCCUCUUCUUCCUCCUCCUCCUCCUCCGCCGCCGCCGCCUCCACCGCCGCAGCAUCCGACGGAGGAGGAGAGGGAGACGACUCGGCUCGGCUUGGCGCUAUCAACUCACUCCACCGCGCAAUUCUUUACCCGCCAAACUCGCUACUCGUCACUCACUCCGCUACUUUCCUCGCCCAGGGCUUCUCUCAGCUCCUCUCUAACAAAUCAUAUACGGUGCGACAAGCAGCAGCAAUAGCAUAUGGGGCACUUUGUGCAGUGGUGUGUUCGAUUCCUAUAACUUCGAAUGGGAGACAGAAUCAUGUUAUACUUGGAAGUAUGGUUGAGCGGUUCAUUGGUUGGGCAUUGCCAUUGCUUAACAAUGUCAGUGGUGCUGCUGAUGGGACUACAGAAUUGGCAUUGGAAAGCUUACGGGAGUUUCUUAAUGUUGGAGAUGUUGGUGGAAUUGAGAGAUAUGCUUUGCCGAUUCUCAAAGCAUGCCAAGUACUACUUGAGGAUGAGAGAACCUCCUUGAGUUUGUUACACCGGCUUCUGGGUGUGUUGACUUUGAUUUCUUCGAAGUUUAGUAGAUGCUUUCAACCCCAUUUUCUUGACAUUGUUGAUCUGCUUCUUGGGUGGGCAUUGGUACCGGACCUUUCAGAGUCAGAUAGUCGUGUUAUUAUGGACAGUUUCUUGCAGUUUCAGAAACAUUGGGUGGGUAAUUUGCAGUUCUCAUUGGGGCUUUUGUCAAAGUUCUUGGGUGACAUGGAUGUAUUACUUCAGGAUGGGAGUCCUGGAACACCGCAACAAUUUCGAAGGUUGCUUGCGUUGCUUUCUUGUUUCUCAACAGUUUUGCAGUCUGCUGCUUCUGGUUUGCUGGAAAUUAAUCUACUUCAACAAAUAACUGAACCCUUAAGCAGAAUGCUUCCAAGGUUAUUGGGAUGUUUAGCUAUGGUAGGAUGCAAAUUUGGAUGGUCAGAAUGGAUAGGGGAUUCAUGGAAGUGUUUGACUCUCUUGGCAGAAAUAUUAUGUGAACGAUUUUCCACCUUUUAUCCUCUUGCAGUUGACAUCUUAUUUCAAAGCCUAGAAAUGAAUCAUCCUAACCAAUUGAUGGGCCCAGGGAAGAUCACCUCCUUUCAAGUUCAUGGAGUUCUAAAAACAAAUCUUCAGUUAUUAUCUCUUCAAAAGCUUGGCCUUCUCGCAUCAUCUGUGCAAAAGGUACUGCAAUUUGAUGCUCCAGUAUCUCAGAUGCGGUUGCAUCCAAAUCACUUGGUCACUGGAAGUUCUGCUGCCACUUAUAUUUUCUUGCUUCAACAUGGAAAUGAUGAAGUUGUUCAACAGGCAGUGGCCUCAUUGAGUGAAGAGCUGGAGCUGUUAAAGGGCAUGCUGGGAAAAACUUUGGGUCAUGGAGAUGGGGUCAAUAGUAUUUUAGACACUAAAUCUUAUUCAAAAAAUGAGUUAUUUGCAUUGAUUAAAUUUGAUUUGAAAGUUUUGUUGACCUGUGUUUCCUUAGGUGGGCAUGGCAGUUUGGUUGGCCUACCAGACACUGCCACCUUGUAUCUUAAGAGGUCAGAGAAGUUGGUGUCUUUUAUUAUUGAGAAACUGAAUCCUUUUGACUCAUGCAUUCGGGCCUUUGUGGAGAUGCAGGUCAAUAUUAUUAAGACAUUGGAAACACUAACUACCAUUGAAUUUUUAAGCAAGUGCUCCUUAAGAUAUCAGAGUAAUGGGAAAACUUCCUUGGAUGUUGCUGCUGAAAAAGUCCCUGAUGACAAUCACAGGGAUGGGCUUUCAUCUGUUAUAACUGAUCAUCUUAGAAAGUACAAUCUACUCCUUGUUAAAGCUCUCCAUGUUUCUUCUCCUCUUGCAGUUAAAGAGGUAGCUUUAGAUUGGACGCAAAAAUUUUGUGAGAAUAUUAUGGCUACUUAUGAGAACUCAAACACGAAGACUUAUUCCUAUGAAGCAUUUGAAUACGCUGGUAUUGUUGGGAAUAUUGUUUUCUCACUUUUAGAUGCUGUGUCUGACAGGGAACCAAAAGUGAGGUUGCAUGUUGCAUUAGUUUUGGAGCUGCUUCUGCAAGCAAGACUGGUGGAUCCCAUGUACUUUUAUCCUAUUGCUGAAAUGGUCCUAGAAAAACUUGGUGAUCCAGAUUCUGAUAUAAAAUACACAUUUGUGAGGCUGUUUGCCCAUGUCCUUCCUACUACAAUAUAUUCAUGUGGUCUACAUGACUAUGGGAUACCUACCACAUCUAAUCCUGGUAUUCUUAGGUUAGGCAGUAGUUCUAACUUGCACUGGAAGCAAGUGUUUGCCCUGAAGCAGCUGCGUCAGCAACUUCACACACAACAACUUGUUUCCAUUUUGAGUUACAUUUCUCAAAGAUGGAAGGUGCCUCUUUCCUCUUGGAUCCAACGGCUCAUUCAUAACUGUCGGAGGUCAAAGGACCUUGUUUUUAGUCAAACUGAGGAAGCAGGAAACUUUGGUUCCACUGGUGUAUGGUUGGACAUCAAAGUGGAUGAAGAUAUUCUUGAAAGAAUUUGUUCUGUCAAUAAUCUGGCUGGUGCCUGGUGGGCUGUACAUGAAGCGGCUAGGUUUUGUAUUGCCAUGCGCCUUAGGACAAACCUUGGUGGGCCCACCCAGACUUUUGCAGCAUUAGAGCGAAUGCUUUUGGACAUCGCACACCUGCUACAGCUUGAUAGUGAGCAAAUUGAUGGGAACUUAAGUAUGAUAGGGUCUUCUGGUGCUCACUUGCUACCAAUGAGGUUAUUAUUGGAUUUUGUUGAAGCCCUAAAGAAAAAUGUAUAUAAUGCAUACGAGGGGUCUGCUGUUUUACCAUCAGCUACUCGCCAGAGUUCCUUGUUCUUUCGGGCGAACAAAAAAGUCUGUGAGGAGUGGUUUUCUCGUAUAUGUGAACCAAUGAUGAAUGUUGGAUUGGCACUACAAUGCCAUGAUGCUAUAAUUCAAUAUUGUUCUCUGCGCUUACAGGAUCUCAAGAAUCUUGUGGCUUCAGCUUUGAAGGACCAAUCUAGGACCCAAUUGGCUGAGAGCCUCCAUAAUAGUAGGGCUAGAUUUUCUGGGGACAUUUUGCGGGUUUUACGGAACAUGGCAUUGGCUCUGUGUAAGAAUCAUGAAGCAGAUGCUUUAAUUGGCCUACAAAAAUGGGUUUCUAUGGCAUUUUCUUCCUUGUUCAUGGAGGAAAACCAGACUCAUAGUCAAAGUGGGGAAAUGGGACCUUUUAUUUGGAUCACUGGCCUUGUAUAUCAGGCUCAAGGUCAAUAUGAAAAGGCUGCUGCUCAUUUUACUCACUUGCUUCAGAGUGAGGAAUCACUAAGUACUAUGGGUUCUGACGGUGUCCAAUUUGCUAUUGCGCGUAUCAUUGAGAGCUAUACUGCUGUAUCUGAUUGGAAAUCUCUAGAAUCCUGGCUAUUAGAGUUGCAAACACUUCGUGCUAAGCAUGCUGGGAGGAGUUAUUCUGGUGCUCUAACUACAGCAGGCAAUGAAAUUAAUGCAAUUCAUGCCUUGGCACGUUUUGAUGAGGGUGAUUUUCUGGCAGCAUGGUCAUGCCUUGAUUUAACACCUAAAAGUAGCAGCGAACUGACUCUUGAUCCCAAACUGGCCUUGCAAAGGAGUGAACAGAUGCUUUUGCAGGCAAUGCUCUUUCAAAAUGAGGGAAAAAUAGACAAGAUUCCACAUGAAUUGCAGAAGGCCAAGUCAAUGCUAGAGGAAAUGUUAUCAGUUCUCCCACUUGAUGAUCUAGCAGAGGCAGCAGCACAUGCUACUCAACUGCACUGCAUCUUUGCUUUUGAAGAAGGUUACAAGCUUAAAGGCAGCCAAGACAAGCCCAAACAGCUUCAGUCAAUAUUAAGUUCGUAUGUCCAAUCGUUGCAAUCUCCAAUUAGUAGAGUUCAUCAAGAUUGUAAUUCAUGGUUAAAACUUCUCCGGGUUUAUCAAACUAUUUUCCCAACUUCACUGGUUACUCUUAAAAUCUGUUUGAAUUUGUUGAGUUUAACCCGUAAACAAGGAAACCUAAUGUUGGCUAACCGUCUAAAUAGUGUUCUCAGAGAUCAUGUGUCGAGUUACCCUGAGGAGAGUUUGAGUGAUUUCCUUACCUUGAAUUUGCAGUAUGAGAGCAUCCUGCUCAUGCAUGCUGAAAACAAGUUUGAAGAUGCUUUUACAAAUCUCUGGUCAUUUGUGCGGCCUUUCAUGGUUUCUUCUGCAUCUAUAGUUUCUAAUGCUGAUGAUAAUAUUCUGAAGGCCAAGGCUUGCUUGAAGCUUGCUAAUUGGCUGAGAAGGGAUCAUUCAGAUAUGAAUCUGGAUAUCUUUGUUCUCAAGAUGCGAGCAGAUUUUGACAUGGCUGAUAGCUCUUUUCUUGGCCAAGAUGGACCCUCCUGUGGCAAUGAGCACCUAACCUCUAGACCUAAGUUGGGUCCUAUUAUUGAAGAAAUUGUGGGUACAGCUAUGAAAUUGUCCACUCAUCUUUGCCCCACUAUGGGCAAGUCAUGGAUUUCAUAUGCCUCUUGGUGUUUUAAUCAAGCCAAAGACUCUCUUUUUAACCCACAUGAACCAAUCCUUCACUCAUGCUCGUUUUCUCCUGCUCUGGUUACAGAAAUUCUGCCUGAGAGAUUUAAGUUAAAUGAAGUUGAGAUUGCAAGAGUCAAAUCUUUGAUUUUGCAGCUAUUCCAGAAUAAGGGUAAUCCAGAAGGUUUUGCAGAUGAACAGAGAGAACAGAAUAUUUCAAUUGAUUCUCCCCAACUUAAUUUAAGCAAUGACAGCCCUAUAAGGGCUUUGGUGCAGCAAGCAGUAAAUAUUAUUGAAGCUGCAGCUGGGGCACCAGGUGCUGAAAAUUCUAGUGGUGAAUGCCUUUCUGCUACAAUAGCUUCUCAGUUGAAGUUUUUCUUUUUACGUGCAAAUGUUGGCUUGGAUGAAACUGACAUGUUAUCUGUAGUUGAUGAUUUACUCGAUGUUUGGUUGUCUUUGAGGACGAGAAGAGUGUCCCUCUUUGGGCAUGCGGCUCAUGCUUUUAUACAGUAUUUGUCAUUUUCAUCUGCUAAGCUUUGCCAUGGUCAGUUGACUGGCUUUGAUUGUGAGUCUUUAAAACAAAAAACUGGCAGCUAUACCCUGAGGGCUAUAUUAUAUGUCCUACAUAUUCUUCUCAAUUAUGGAGUGGAGUUAAAGGAUACUCUUGUACCUGCUCUUUUGACGAUUCCUUUGUGGCCAUGGCAGGAAGUAACACCCCAACUAUUUGCACGUUUAAGUUCUCAUCCUGAGCAAGUGGUCCGGAAGCAGUUGGAGGGAUUAUUGGUGAUGCUUGCCAAACAAUCUCCUUGGUCCAUAGUGUACCCAACAUUAGUUGAUGUAAAUGCUUAUGCUGAGAAGCCUUCAGAGGAACUUCAGCACAUAAUGGGUUGUUUGACAGAGCUCUAUCCAAGGUUGAUUCAAGAUGUUCAACUGAUGAUUAAUGAGCUGGGAAACAUGACUGUACUUUGGGAGGAACUAUGGCUCAGCACACUUCAGGAUCUUCACACAGAUGUAAUGAGGCGCAUAAAUGUGUUGAAAGAAGAAGCUGCCCGUAUUGCAGAAAAUGUCACUCUUAGCCAGAGUGAGAAGAACAAGAUUAAUGCUGCUAAAUACUCAGCCAUGAUGGCUCCCAUUGUAGUUGCAUUGGAACGUCGUCUAGCUUCAACUUCUCGAAAACCUGAAACACCUCAUGAAGUGUGGUUCCACGAGGAGUAUAAAGAACAAAUAAAGUCAGCCAUUGUGAUCUUUAAGACUCCUCCUGCAUCUGCUGCAGCACUUGGAGAUGUGUGGAGACCAUUCGAUAAUAUUGCUGCAUCCUUAGCAUCAUACCAGAGGAAAUUAUCAGUUUCUUUAGAGGAAGUUGCUCCGCAACUGGCUCUUUUAUCAUCUUCUGAUGUGCCAAUGCCUGGUCUUGAGAAGCAUGUCACACUUUCUGAAUCUGACAUAGGUCUCACUAAUAGUCUCCAAGGAAUUGUUACAAUUGCUUCUUUCUCUGAACAAGUGGCAAUCUUGUCAACCAAGACCAAACCUAAGAAGCUUGUUAUACUGGGCUCAGAUGGUCAAAAGUAUACAUACCUUUUGAAGGGGAGAGAAGAUCUGCGACUUGAUGCAAGAAUCAUGCAACUUUUGCAAGCUAUUAAUGGGUUUCUACAUUCAACUCCUGCAACUCGUAGUCAUUCUCUUGGCAUUAGAUAUUAUUCUGUGACUCCAAUUAGUGGUCGUGCUGGUCUAAUCCAGUGGGUGGACAAUGUAAUAAGCAUAUACAGUGUUUUUAAGUCUUGGCAAAAUCGUGUCCAGCUGGCCCAGCUCUCGGCACUGGGUGCUGGAAAUGCAACAAAUUCGGUUCCUCCACCUGUUCCCCGACCAAGUGAUAUGUUCUAUGGUAAAAUCAUACCAGCACUCAAAGAAAAAGGCAUUAGGAGAGUAAUUUCACGAAGAGACUGGCCUCAUGAAGUCAAGCGUAAAGUUCUUUUGGAUCUUAUGAAGGAGGCUCCUAGACAGCUUCUUCAUCAAGAACUAUGGUGUGCAAGUGAAGGAUUCAAAGCUUUUAGCUCAAAAUUGAAGAGGUAUUCUGGAAGUGUUGCAGCCAUGAGCAUGGUGGGCCACAUUUUGGGUCUGGGGGAUAGACAUUUGGAUAAUAUUCUUAUAGAUUUCUCUAAAGGGGAUAUAGUACAUAUUGAUUACAAUGUUUGUUUCGAUAAAGGGCAAAGAUUAAAAGUUCCAGAGAUUGUUCCCUUCCGCCUUACCCAGACAAUAGAAGCAGCUUUAGGGCUGACUGGAAUAGAAGGCACAUUUAGAUCAAGUUGUGAAGCAGUUGUUGAUGUUCUUAGAAAGAAUAAAGAUAUACUCUUGAUGUUACUAGAAGUGUUUGUUUGGGAUCCAUUGGAAGAAUGGACUCGGGGAGAUUUUCAUGAUGAUGCAGCAAUUGGUGGUGAAGAAAGAAAGGGCAUGGAGUUGGCUGUCAGCUUGAGUUUAUUUGCCUCGCGAGUGCAGGAAAUUCGUGUUCCCUUACAGGAACAUCAUGAUCUUUUAUUGGCCACCCUACCAGCCAUUGAAUCUUCUCUUGAGAGAUUUGCUGAUGUUCUAAAUCGAUAUGAGAGCGUCUCUGCUCUUUUUUCUCAAGCGGAUCAAGAGAGAUCUAAGCUUAUUCUGCAUGAGACGUCGGCAAAGUCAAUUGUUUCUGAUGCAACUAUAAAUUCAGAAAAUACUCGUGCGUCCUUUGAAAGUAAGGCUCGAGAAUUCGCCCAAUCAAAGGCUGUGGUUUCUGAAAAAGCUCAAGAGGCAGCAACUUGGAUGGAGCAGCAUGGAAGGAUCAUUGAUGCUUUACGCAGCAAUUUUAUUACAGAAAUAAAUGUUUCCAUAAAUCUGAGUGGCAUGGAAGAAGAUUUUUCUCUUACAUCCGCUGUUCUGGUGGCAGGGGUUCCAUUAACUAUUGUUCCUGAGCCCACACAAGUACAAUGUCAUGAUAUAGAUAGGGAAGUUUUUCAGCUCAUAGCUGAGUUAGAUGAUGGACUCUCUUCUGCUAGAACUGCACUCCAAGCAUAUUCUUCGGCUUUGCAAAGAAUCCUCCCGCUAAAUUACCUUUCAACUAGUGCAGUGCAUGGCUGGGCACAAGUUCUGCAACUUGCAGUUAAUGCGCUAUCCUCUGACAUCCUCUCUCUUGCCCUAAGACAGGCUUCAGAACUUAUGGAGAAAGUAAAUGGGGAUAAUCCUGAUUCUGUCAAAAACAGUCAUGGCGAUUUGUGCCUUAAAGUGGAGAAGUAUGCAGUAGAGAUAGAGAAAGUCGAAGAAGAGUGUGCCGAGUUAGUCAACUCUAUUGGCUCAGAAACUGAAUCUAAAGCUAAGGAUCGGGUUCUGUCUGCUUUUAUGAGAUACAUGCAAUCUGCUGGUCUGGUAAGGAAAGAAGAUUCCUUGUCUUCUAUUCAAUCAGGACAAUCUAAAUAUGAUGGGACAAGGGAUGCAAGAUUGCGAGGGGAACUGGAAGAGAAGAAGGAGAAGGUGUUAUCUAUUUUGAAUACAGCUCUAAGUUCUUUGUACAAUGAUGUUAAAAGUAGGACAUUAAACAUAUUUAGGGAUUCCACAAAAGGAAGAAGUGUAAAUAGUAGAUUGCAGUAUGAUUUCGGAACUAUUUUCUCUGAGCUCGAAGAGCAAGUUGAGAAAUGUGUUCUCUUGGCAGGGUUUGUUAAUGAAAUACGACGUAUCAUUAGUAGGGAGAUACCUAGCAUCGAUGCAGACAAAGACCAUUCAAAAUAUUUUUCUGAAAGAAAUUGGGUUUCUAUCUUUGGAACCAGUUUACAUUCCUGUAAGAGCCUACUUGGGCAAAUGACUGAAGUUGUUCUACCAGAUGUUAUAAGAUCUGCUGUUUCAUUUAAUUCUGAAGUCAUGGAUGCAUUUGGGUUAAUCUCACAAAUUCGGGGUUCUGUUGACAUGGCACUAGAGCAACUCCUUGAGCUUGAAAUGGAGAGGGCAUCUCUGGUUGAACUGGAGCAGAAUUACUUUAUCAAGGUUGGCCGCAUUACUGAGCAGCAGUUGGCUCUUGAAGAAGCUGCUGUGAAAGGCAGGGAUAAUCUCUCUUGGGAGGAGGCAGAGGAGCUUGCAUCCCAGGAAGAGGCUUGUAGGGCACAGCUGGACCAACUCCACCGAACUUGGAGCCAGAGGGAUGUACGUACUUCUUCACUCAUAAAAAGAGAAGCUGACAUAAAACAGGCCUUGGUUUCUUCAGAACGCCAUUUCCAGUCUCUAAUUUCUGUUGAUGAGGAGAGGGAGCAGCAUAAUGUGACAAUAAAAAUGCUAUUAUCCACACUAGUUAAGCCCUUUUCUGAAUUGGAAUCUAUGGAUAAAUCGCUGUCUUCAUUUGGUGUUUCUGCUACUUCUCACUCAAAGGACAUUCCUAAUUUGGUGGAUUUGAUGAGUUCUGGAUACCCAAUGUCUGAAUAUAUCUGGAAGUUUGGGGGCUUGUUGGAUAGCCAUUCUUUUUUCAUUUGGAAAAUAGUUCUUGUGGAUUCUUUUCUUGAUUCAUGCAUACAUGAUGUAGCUUCAUAUGUUGAUCAAAAUUUAGGAUUUGACCAGCUCUUCAAUGUUGUAAAGAAAAAGCUAGAGGUCCAACUUCAGGAACAUAUUGGCCAGUACCUGAAGGAACGAGUUGUUCCUGCUUUAGUGGCUUUAUUAGAGAGAGAAAAUGAUCAUCUGAAGCAAUUAACAGAGGCAACAAAGGAUGUUGCUCUUGAUCAAGCGAAAAGAGAUGCUGGGGCUGUGAAAAGGGUUCAACUCAUGCUGGAAGAAUACUGCAAUGCUCAUGAAACAGCUAGAGCAGCAAGGUCAGCAGCUUCCCUUAUGAAGAGGCAGGUGAAUGAGCUCAGAGAGGCUCUUCAUAAGACUGGCCUAGAGAUUGUUCAGAUGGAAUGGAUGCAUGAUAUUACAUUGACAUCCUCCCACAAUACUAGGGUCACAUUCCACAACUUCCUUCCUAGUGAUGAUAACCUUUAUACUAUCAUUUCAAAUCUCAGCAGAGCUAAAUUGCUGGAGAGUAUGCAAUCAGCUGUGUCAAAGAUAGCUAGAUCAAAGGAGGGCCUGCAGGCUUGUGAACGAAAUUCUGUCACAGCAGAAGCACAGCUUGAGAGAGCAAUGGGGUGGGCUUGUGGUGGCCCAAAUUCUAGUGCAACUGGAAAUGCUUCAGCCAAGAGUUCAGGAAUUCCUCCUGAGUUCCAUGACCAUCUGAUGAAGCGACGGCAACUGCUAUGGGAAACUAAAGAAAAGGCAUCAGAUAUUAUGAAAAUUUGCAUGUCAUUAUUGGAUUUUGAAGCAUCAAGAGAUGGCAUUUUCCGGUUUCCAGGAGAGAUUUACCCUUAUAGGACUGGCGGGGAUGGCAGGACAUGGCAGCAAGCUUACUUGAAUGCGCUCGAAAAAUUGGAGGCGAAUUAUCAUUCUUUUAUGCGUUCUGAACAAGAGUGGAAACUUGCACAACGCACCAUGGAAGCUGCUUCAAAUGGCUUAUAUUCUGCAACUAAUGAACUCUGCAUUGCCUCUCUCAAAGCAAAGUCAGCUUCAGGUGACCUGCAUAGCACUAUUCUUGCUAUGAGGGAUUGUGCAUAUGAAGCCAGUGUUGCAUUAUCUGCAUUUUGUCGUGUUUCAAAGAACCAUACUGCUUUGACUUCUGAAUGCGGUUCCAUGCUUGAAGAGGUCCUUGCCAUAACAGACGAUCUCCAGGAUGUUCAUAGUCUGGGAAAGGAGUCUGCUGCAGUUCACCACUCUCUUAUGGAAGAUCUUUCUAAGGCAAAUGCAAUCCUUCUUCCACUUGAAGCGGUGCUGUCUAUAGAUGUAGCUGCAAUGACUGGUGCUAUGUUUAGGGAACAGGAGACCAGUAAAGAGAUACCUCCCAUUCAUGGACAGGCCAUAUACCAGUCUUACUUUUUAAGAAUUAGGGAGGCUUGUCAGACCUUUAAGCCCUUGGUACCAUCACUUACAUCUUCUGUGAAGGGACUCUAUUCCAUGUUGACCAGGCUAGCACGAACUGCAAGUCUACAUGCUGGCAAUCUUCACAAAGCUCUUGAAGGACUAGGAGAGAGCCAGGAAGUAAAAUCACAGGGAAUUAAUUCAUCGAGGUCAGAUCUUGCUGGUGAUGCUACUGAAUUUGCUGACAAGGAGGGUGGAAGCCUCUCCAUAUCUGACAGUGGAAGCACUGAGAAUUUUCUUGGUGUUACUGUACUUUCUUUGCAAGAUAAAGGAUGGAUAUCUCCACCAGAUAGCAUCUGCAGUAGCAUCUCAGAAUCUUGUAUUGACCCAGCUGAAGAAAUUGUUCCAGAUUGCUUAAAUAAGCUGGCUGAAGAUAUGGGACAACUUUUACAUGGGUCUAGUGCCACAGGUCAAAAUACUGCUCCAUUUUCUCAAACUGACUUCCGAGAAAUUUCACAUUUUGGGCAGUUAGAAUCCAAGUAUGUGGAGGUUAAUGUUGUUGAUACAGUUUCUGGCAAGUCAGUAGUGAAUGAGCUGAAUGAAUGUCUCAAAGUUGGGACAUCACCAAGCAAUGAAUCUGUAACUGUCCCUUCUGACAGUUUGCAUUCUUUGAAUGAGAACUCAGAUGAGAAGGCUGGUGUUAAGGACGAGAUAUUUGCAUCAAACAAAGUUAAGACUGAAGAUGAAGAUCGUGAAGCUCCUGUGCCUAAUAUGCAUGGUGGUAGUCGAGUAGGUCGGGGUAAAAAUGCUUAUGCAUUGUCGGUUUUGAGGCGAAUUGAGAUGAAACUAGACGGUCGAGAUGUUGGUGACAACAGGGAUAUUAGUAUUGCUGAGCAAGUGGAUUAUCUACUUAGGCAAGCCACAAGCAUAGAUAAUCUGUGCAACAUGUAUGAAGGUUGGACACCAUGGAUUUGAACUUGUGGAUCCUAUGUGCUAUAGAUACAAGCUAUGAUCUCAAAUUACCUUGUUCAAGAUACAAUGUUAGGCAUGUCAGGGGUUUUUUAUUCACAUGCAAAAAGACAGACUUGGGGUCUGUAAAAUUUGCCUACCUACAAUGAAGUCAUUGCACCUAUUUUGAUGUUACCUCAGCUAGCCCCAUAUUUGUCUUCACAUCUCUUGCUUCCCCCUGACCUAUAUUGCUUGAGCAAGCCCAGUAUUUGGCUUCAGAACCCGCUGUUUUUUACUCAGAGAGAGCGAGCCAUGGGCAUCUUCAGUGAGAGAUUUGCCAUGAAUUACAAAGAGCUCCCUUGGAUGGUGCUACACUGUUUUGCCCGAGCCUCCCUUCCAAGGGGUCAGAGUUCUUCAGGCAUAGUAUAUACACCAAUCCUCUCCAAGACAUAUCAUGUUAUCAUGAAGUCCCUUGCAAGAUUUGCUCAUGUCACUCGCACAGCAGACUCAAGUCUUAAAUGAGCUCUGUUUCGCAGCAUCACAAGGGACUUGCUUGGCGACCUUCCAAUGCGUAAAAAGCCUUUUUGUUGAUGUGAUGACUUUGCAUAACUGCUGCCCACACUGUGAAGGGAUUUCGAAUCCUAGAUGUCUCCGUUGGAAAUAUUAAGGUGUCAAAUGAGCUAUAAGGCUCUUGGCUGCUAGGUAUGCACAGAACUUGGAGAUUCGACAUUUUUUUAAACAUAAAGUACAAAAAUAUACCAAUGGCUUGCUGUGGUUUAGGAACUUCCUGUGGCUGUGGGGACAGAAGAUAGACUAAAACCGGACAAAAUGUGUCUAUUUUGCAAAGCACACAGAUAAACAAGAAGGUUUGCGCUUUGUAUAUCAAUUAUUACAACCCUUCUACACCACUUCUCAACCAUCUUAUAUAAACUUGACUUCACAUCUCAAAAAUAUUAUCCAUCCAAAAGCUUCAAAUAUCUUCAAGGAACUUUUAACAACUUUUCCUCCUUUCACGAUUUGUCUAUUUUUGUUACUAAGAAAGAUUUUUUUAGUCAUGUCUGGGCUGGUGGAUAUGUGGACUAGUAUGAUGUCCAAGCUGAGAGAAAAGGGUCAAACCAUGUUUUCUAAUGGCUCUAGCCUUACUAAUGCUGAGUCUAGCCAGAGGAUUCAAGCCAAGGAAAAGGAAAAGGAAGAGAGCUCAACUGGGUUGGUCCCAGCUUUUAGCCGGUUCAUGCGAGUCAACUCGCCUGUGGUGUUGUAUUCUGAGGCUUCAGUUUCUAUACUUGAGUGUUUGAGUGCUUGAAAAUUGAAAUGUAAUGUCACUUUAGUCUUUUUAUCUUUUCCUCCUUUUUGUCCUGGGCCCUUCAGUUGUGACAUGAGUCUAUGGGGGCCAAAAAGAUGUGUAAAUAUGGCGGUCUUGAAAUUUUAAUAA
Quercus lobata is the source of this 13108-nucleotide RNA transcript. RefSeq lists it as uncharacterized. The record is from RefSeq and is a predicted model, not a curated record. Lineage: Eukaryota; Viridiplantae; Streptophyta; Magnoliopsida; Fagales; Fagaceae. The transcript has 16 exons.